Molecule: ribosomal RNA, 491 nt
Filed under: uncultured bacterium
Lineage: Bacteria
Description: partial 16S ribosomal RNA
Rfam family: Bacterial small subunit ribosomal RNA
Source: RNAcentral
GUGAACGCUGGCGGUAGGCCUAACACAUGCAAGUCGAACGGCAGCACAGUAAGAGCUUGCUCUUACGGGUGGCGAGUGGCGGACGGGUGAGGAAUACAUCGGAAUCUACCUUUUCGUGGGGGAUAACGUAGGGAAACUUACGCUAAUACCGCAUACGACCUACGGGUGAAAGCAGGGGAUCUUCGGACCUUGCGCGAUUGAAUGAGCCGAUGUCGGAUUAGCUAGUUGGCGGGGUAAAGGCCCACCAAGGCGACGAUCCGUAGCUGGUCUGAGAGGAUGAUCAGCCACACUGGAACUGAGACACGGUCCAGACUCCUACGGGAGGCAGCAGUGGGGAAUAUUGGACAAUGGGCGCAAGCCUGAUCCAGCCAUACCGCGUGGGUGAAGAAGGCCUUCGGGUUGUAAAGCCCUUUUGUUGGGAAAGAAAAGCAGCAGGUUAAUACCCCGCUGUUCUGACGGUACUCAAAGAAUAAGCACCGGCUAACUUCGUG